Molecule: ribosomal RNA, 613 nt
Filed under: uncultured Staphylococcus sp.
Lineage: Bacteria; Bacillati; Bacillota; Bacilli; Caryophanales; Staphylococcaceae
Description: bacterial SSU rRNA
Rfam family: Bacterial small subunit ribosomal RNA
Source: RNAcentral
CGAUGCAUAGCCGACCUGAGAGGGUGAUCGGCCACACUGGAACUGAGACACGGUCCAGACUCCUACGGGAGGCAGCAGUAGGGAAUCUUCCGCAAUGGGCGAAAGCCUGACGGAGCAACGCCGCGUGAGUGAUGAAGGUCUUCGGAUCGUAAAACUCUGUUAUUAGGGAAGAACAUAUGUGUAAGUAACUGUGCACAUCUUGACGGUACCUAAUCAGAAAGCCACGGCUAACUACGUGCCAGCAGCCGCGGUAAUACGUAGGUGGCAAGCGUUAUCCGGAAUUAUUGGGCGUAAAGCGCGCGUAGGCGGUUUUUUAAGUCUGAUGUGAAAGCCCACGGCUCAACCGUGGAGGGUCAUUGGAAACUGGAAAACUUGAGUGCAGAAGAGGAAAGUGGAAUUCCAUGUGUAGCGGUGAAAUGCGCAGAGAUAUGGAGGAACACCAGUGGCGAAGGCGACUUUCUGGUCUGUAACUGACGCUGAUGUGCGAAAGCGUGGGGAUCAAACAGGAUUAGAUACCCUGGUAGUCCACGCCGUAAACGAUGAGUGCUAAGUGUUAGGGGGUUUCCGCCCCUUAGUGCUGCAGCUAACGCAUUAAGCACUCCGCCUGGGGAGU